UCAGUCGACUCCUACGGGGAGGCAGCAGUGGGGGAAUAUUGCACAAUGGGCGCAAGCCUGAUGCAGCCAUGCCGCGUGUGUGAAGAAGGACCUUCGGGUUGUAAAGCACUUUCAGUCGUGAGGAAGGUAGUGUAGUUAAUAGCUGCAUUAUUUGACGUUAGCGACAGAAGAAGCACCGGCUAACUCCGUGCCAGCAGCCGCGGUAAUACGGAGGGUGCGAGCGUUAAUCGGAAUUACUGGGCGUAAAGCGCAUGCAGGUGGUUUGUUAAGUCAGAUGUGAAAGCCCGGGGCUCAACCUCGGAAUAGCAUUUGAAACUGGCAGACUAGAGUACUGUAGAGGGGGGUAGGAAUUUCAGGUGUAGCGGUGAAAUGCGUAGAGAUCUGAAGGAAUACCGGUGGCGAAGGCGGCCCCCUGGACAGAUACUGACACUCAGAUGCGAAAGCGUGGGGAGCAAACAGGAUUAGAUACCCUGGUAG
RNAcentral lists this ribosomal RNA (477 nucleotides) under uncultured bacterium. RNAcentral describes it as "bacterial SSU rRNA". It matches the Rfam family "Bacterial small subunit ribosomal RNA", at positions 328 to 793 of the family's 1533-position model. The record is from RNAcentral.